This is a long non-coding RNA of Helianthus annuus (common sunflower), 2292 nucleotides long. RefSeq lists it as uncharacterized. NCBI's taxonomy places the organism in Eukaryota, Viridiplantae, Streptophyta, Magnoliopsida, Asterales, Asteraceae. The transcript is spliced from 4 exons. The record is from RefSeq and is a predicted model, not a curated record.
AAAGGCGGAUAACCUAAUGCCAUUUCAAAAUUUAAACGCUUUUUUCCUUCUCUUUCUCUCAAAAUCCCUACUCCAUUCAAAAUUCAGAAAAUGAUGGCCGGUGUAACCACAUAUUCGUGAAGAUGGCGGCCUCGGUUUAGGUAAGACGACAACAGUGGAGAUGAAGUCUAGGGUUUACAGCGGCGCUACAGGCGGUAAAAGUGGUGAUUCUAAACCAAAAGUGAAAGUAGAAGAUGGUGUACGGACGAAACCAAACACAACCUUCAUUUUCCUCUUCAGUAACUUCCUCACUAGAUGAUGCUUGAUGAGCUUGCCGAAGGUUCAACAAAGCCCAGAUCUGAUCGAGAAACAAGACCUUGUUGAAAUGAAGUGUGUGGCGACAUAUAUAUUCGCAUUGUCAUCAUUGGUUCGUCAUCAUAAUUAUAUGUUUGAUCAUGGGCUUAGGAUUUCAUGCUUUGACCUUCGACCACACUUUUUCUACUCUAGCCAAAUUGGUCACCAAAUGUCGCGUGCGUACUUUGAGUUGGUGUGGGUGGUUGUGGUAGAUCAUAUAUAUCACACAUAUAACAACAGGCGAAAGGUCGGAUUUUGCAAAAUUGUAACAUAUGAUGUAUUAUUUUCUGUUUAUAGUUGUCCAUGAGUUUUUCGUGUCUUUUCAAUGUCUGUAUUUUGCAUUUUUUUCAUUAAAUUAGUUUUUUUGUGAGAUGAUCAUCUAUAUAGACAAUAUAAUAUUACUUCUAAUGAAUUACAUAAAUUUGGUGUUGAUCUUGAUGAAUAUGAUACUCUUGAUAUAUGUAAUCUGGGAAAGAGUUAAGGUUAUUAUAUUACCAUGCAUGAACCGAGUUUCAGUUCUUUGGCGAACUGAAUUGUUGGUAGCAAUUGAUAGCAUAGUGACCUGGUUCAUCACAGAAUUUACAAAUAAUUGAACUAUCAUUGCUAGCAUGAGGAGGAGAUCUUAAGGAUAGAAACUGCUUUCAUUCAUUAAUUUUUAGAAAUUGCUUAUUUUUUCAUAUCAGUCCGUUGUGUUAUGGAAUUGAAUGCUAGGCAUUUGGGGCUUUUACUUUUUGGAUGCACAUACACAUGUUCCAGAUUUGGAUAAUUGGAACCGGAGCAAACGGGAACUGGAAUGAUGGCACCAAUGUAGAAUGUCGAGAGGGCAGCUGAAUAUGUUCUUCAUAAAAGGGUUUGGUUUCUGAACUUUACCAUCAAUAAUAUAAUUUGUUUGUAUUUUUAAUAUUGUAUGUUCUGUAGUUAUAAAAAAAAUAUUAUGAUCUCAUCCAGGUUUGACGGGUCUAACUGCUUUCACAAGUGAACCGAUAAAGUAGUAGGUUUGAUAACCAGUUCAAUUUUUUUAAGACAUUGAUUUUCAUUAAAGAUGGUAAAAUUAUCAAAAUGUAAAUGAGUUGAAACAUUUUUUUCAUUCUUGGAAGCCUUUAAGUGGAUUUAUGAACUCAACAAAUGAUUUAUAGGACAACAUCUGUGUAUGGAAACAAAUGGCAUAUGAUUAAAGUGUGUUGGUUAUGUUAAGUUUUAUCGUAUAGUCUAAUCAAGAUUAUAGGGACACAAGCUUCCUAUAGGUUUGAAUCAAUUAUGCCCUAGAUCGAUAAUUUGGCUUGCUUCAAUUUAUAUUGUACGGUUCGGUAAGUUUCUAUGCUUUAUGAGCACUUCUACUUUUAAGUGAACGUAGUGUGAUGAACUUAGUUGCAAAACAACUUAUUGUUGUAUUGAAACUUAGUAAACAGGCCCUAGGUGUAACAAGGAAUCUUAGACACUAAACACCUCGUAUAUUUAUGUAUUAUAGAAACUUUUUUUAUUGAGUUGUCUAUUUUCAUCUUCUAUCAUGUUUAAAUUAAAUGGCAGGAUGAAAUCGGUAUCCUGAUGAGCAAUACGACAAUCCUCACUAAUAUCUCUCAAAUGGGCCGCCUUCUGGGGUGUAUGUACAUCCGCUCAUGCCACCUGAUCAAAUUAUUUUGGAAGAAGGAAUUGAAAUACAACAUCACGAAAUUUGCAAGCUUUUAGGCAAAAAUCGAAGAUUAGUUGAAGAUCAAGUCACUCUGCAACAAGAUUUAGGUUCUGCACGAGAAGAAUUUAGGAAAAUGAACAUUGCAAUUACUAAAAUUUAAAAAGAAAAUGAUCUGCAUUCAAAGAAACUUAUUGAGAGGGGAUCGAAGCUUAAAGAUGGUAAGAAAGCAACUGAAUCAUUCAUUCAACUGAUUUUUACCCUGAACUAAUUUAUGAAUUUUGAUGUCGUCACUCUCUCUAAUAGAUUAGAAUCAUUCUUUAAACCUGUCU